GACGAACGCUGGCGGCGUGCUUAACACAUGCAAGUCGAACGGAAAGGCCCCUUCGGGGGUACUCGAGUGGCGAACGGGUGAGUAACACGUGAGUAACCUGCCCUUGACUUCGGGAUAACUUCAGGAAACUGGGGCUAAUACCGGAUAGGAAUCCUUGCUGCAUGGUGGGGGUUGGAAAGCUUCGGCGGUUUUGGAUGGACUCGCGGCUUAUCAGCUUGUUGGUGGGGUAGUGGCUUACCAAGGCUUUGACGGGUAGCCGGCCUGAGAGGGCGACCUGCCACAUUGGGACUGAGAUACGGCCCAGACUCCUACGGGAGGCAGCAGUGGGGAAUAUUGCACAAUGGGCGGAAGCCUGAUGCAGCAACGCCGCGUGCGGGAUGACGGCCUUCGGGUUGUAAACCGCUUUCAGCAGGGGCGAAGCUUGUGGUGACGGUACCUGCAGAAGAAGCACCGGCUAACUACGUG
This 465-nucleotide ribosomal RNA is filed under the name uncultured bacterium. RNAcentral's name for it is "partial 16S ribosomal RNA". It matches the Rfam family "Bacterial small subunit ribosomal RNA", at positions 28 to 507 of the family's 1533-position model. The record is from RNAcentral.